ACAACAAAAACAAGAAAGCUGAACCCCAUAACAAGAACAACACGUAGCGGCUCCGACACAAUAAAAACAAGCAUGUGGAGGCGUAGCAAACUGAUUCUUUUGGAGAGGAAUUGCCCGACAGGUCUCCUGUCGACCGGGCCGAGAACGACAAAACUGCCUCGAGGCAGCGCCAGAACCGGUUGAGCCCGCAAGGGCAGUGGCAACAUCAGCGACCAAAAUAAUCCGUUUGUUCUUUGAGUCCCGAAUGGGACCGCUUUUCGGACGCUCGUCCGACCGGGCCGCCAAUCAGAACAACAAGCCCGUCAGCAGAAAAAGAACAAAGCAAUAUCUCUUGGAGGGGGAGCCGCAAGGCUCCCCCUUUCUUAAUUCUGGUGCAUGCUCUUCAGGCUUCA
RNAcentral lists this small RNA (392 nucleotides) under Pseudomonas sp. BAY1663. RNAcentral describes it as "Pseudomonas sRNA CrcZ". It matches the Rfam family "Pseudomonas sRNA CrcZ". Lineage: Bacteria; Pseudomonadati; Pseudomonadota; Gammaproteobacteria; Pseudomonadales; Pseudomonadaceae. The record is from Rfam by way of RNAcentral.